Molecule: ribosomal RNA, 253 nt
Filed under: uncultured bacterium
Lineage: Bacteria
Description: partial 16S ribosomal RNA
Rfam family: Bacterial small subunit ribosomal RNA
Source: RNAcentral
UACGUAGGGGGCAAGCGUUGUCCGGAAUUAUUGGGCGUAAAGAGCUCGUAGGCGGUUUGUCGCGUCUGCUGUGAAAACUCGGGGCUUAACCCCGGGCCUGCAGUGGGUACGGGCAGACUAGAGUGCGGUAGGGGAGACUGGAAUUCCUGGUGUAGCGGUGAAAUGCGUAGAUAUCGGGAGGAACACCAGUGGCGAAGGCGACUACCUGGCCUGUUCUUGACGCUGAGGCGCGAAAGCUAGGGGAGCAAACGGG